This 1353-nucleotide unclassified non-coding RNA is filed under the name Gigantopelta aegis. RNAcentral describes it as "core histone macro-H2A.1-like, transcript variant X2". The record is from RNAcentral. Lineage: Eukaryota; Metazoa; Mollusca; Gastropoda; Neomphalida; Peltospiridae.
GACUCGCCCGCCGUACCUGUUUGAGCUUGUUGGGGAUACAACACAUAAAUUGCACAACGUUUACAGCCAGAAGGCAAAGAUGUCGGGUCGAGGGGGAAAGAAGAAACAGAAGAUCUUGUCGCGAUCUGCUCGAUCGGGGGUUUUAUUCCCCGUGGCAAGGAUGCUCCGCUACAUGAGACGGGACACACAUCACUUCCGCAUCGGGUCGGGAGCUCCAGUGUACAUGGCGGCUGUCAUUGAGUAUCUGACCGCUGAGAUUCUCGAACUUGCUGGAAAUGCUGCACGUGAUAACAAGAAAAGUCGUGUAACUCCAAGACACAUCCUACUGGCUAUAGCCAAUGACGAGGAGCUGCAUAGAUUACUAAAACAUGUUACAAUUGCCUCUGGUGGAGUGCUGCCGAAGAUCCACCCGGAAUUGAUAGGACGGAAGAAAGGUUCACGUUUCCCCAAUGCGCCUACACCAUUUACCGUUCCAGUAAGCAAAGUUAAAGCAGAUGUCAAAGCCAACUCGCCGAAAACAACAGUGAAGAAAGGAGGCAAAAAAGUAGCCAAUGCCACACCACCUAAACCAUCAUUAGGAAAGAGAACUAGCAGUGCUCGUGAUGGGUCUGAUCUUAAAUCUCUGGGGACAAUCACAGGAGGUUUCACCAUCCUUGGAGAAAAAAAACUAUUUCUAGGUCAAAAGAUGAUGGUGUUACAAGGUGAUAUUGUAAAAGUUACUGCUGAUGCUAUUGUCAAUCCAACCAACUCAAACUAUAACAUGGGAGGUGAAGUAGGUUCAGCACUGCAGAAAGCUGGAGGUAAAGAAUUUCAACAAGAGAUUGAGAAUCUGCAGAACACUAACGGUGCUCUGGACACAUCUGGAGUGGCCAUAUGCCCAAGCCGUAACCUCCAGGCAAAAUUUGUUAUUCAUGUGAACAGUCCCACUUGGGGAUCAGCCAGUUGCCAACCGCAACUGGAGAAGGCUGUGAAGAACAUUCUGUCGCUAGCCGACGAUAAACACCUCAAGACUGUAGCACUUCCAUCUAUUAGUAGUGGGACCGGUGAUGACUUUGGCUCACCAUAUUCCGGCCAAGUUUGUAAUUCACUGCUACGGACCCACGUGGAAGAUGACUAAUGCUCAAGAACUCCUGGAAACCACAGUUAAAAACUGCCUCGUUCUCGCAGACGGGAAGAAUUUAAAAACAGUAGCACUGCCAUCUAUAGGAAGUGGACGAGCUGGAUUUCCGAAGCAGGCAGCAGCUCAGAUUAUUCUCCGAGCAAUCAGCAGUUACUUCACGACAGUCGUAACGAGUUCCCUCAAACAGAUAUACUUCGUCCUCUUUGAUAUGGAGAGUAUCGCGGUGUACACUA